RNAcentral lists this ribosomal RNA (465 nucleotides) under Vreelandella stevensii. RNAcentral's name for it is "partial 16S ribosomal RNA". It matches the Rfam family "Bacterial small subunit ribosomal RNA", at positions 338 to 795 of the family's 1533-position model. The record is from RNAcentral. Lineage: Bacteria; Pseudomonadati; Pseudomonadota; Gammaproteobacteria; Oceanospirillales; Halomonadaceae.
CCUACGGGGGGCAGCAGUGGGGAAUAUUGGACAAUGGGGGGAACCCUGAUCCAGCCAUGCCGCGUGUGUGAAGAAGGCCCUCGGGUUGUAAAGCACUUUCAGUGAGGAAGAACGCCUGGUGGUUAAUACCCAUCAGGAAAGACAUCACUCACAGAAGAAGCACCGGCUAACUCCGUGCCAGCAGCCGCGGUAAUACGGAGGGUGCGAGCGUUAAUCGGAAUUACUGGGCGUAAAGCGCGCGUAGGUGGCUUGAUAAGCCGGUUGUGAAAGCCCCGGGCUCAACCUGGGAACGGCAUCCGGAACUGGCAAGCUAGAGUGCAGGAGAGGAAGGUAGAAUUCCAGGUGUAGCGGUGAAAUGCGUAGAGAUCGGGAGGAAUACCAGUGGCGAAGGCGGCCUUCUGGACUGACACUGACACUGAGGUGCGAAAGCGUGGGUAGCAAACAGGAUUAGAUACCCUAGUAGUC